AGCCGGGCGGUGGUGAACACAGAGCAAACUAUUCUUUCGCCUUUUACUAAAGAAUACCGCGUGUUCGCCGCAUGCGCCGGCAUAUGUCUAUUUUUGGAGGAUUUUCUCUUCAAAGAGAAU
Molecule: small nuclear RNA, 120 nt
Organism: Benincasa hispida (wax gourd)
Lineage: Eukaryota; Viridiplantae; Streptophyta; Magnoliopsida; Cucurbitales; Cucurbitaceae
Product: U5 spliceosomal RNA
Source: RefSeq, a predicted model, not a curated record